Molecule: ribosomal RNA, 253 nt
Filed under: uncultured bacterium
Lineage: Bacteria
Description: partial 16S ribosomal RNA
Rfam family: Bacterial small subunit ribosomal RNA
Source: RNAcentral
UACGUAGGGGGCAAGCGUUGUCCGGAAUCAUUGGGCGUAAAGCGCGUGUAGGCGGUCCGGUAAGUCGGUUGUGAAAGUCCAGGGCUCAACCCUGGGAUGCCGACCGAUACUGUCGGACUAGAGUUCGGAAGAGGCGAGUGGAAUUCCCGGUGUAGCGGUGAAAUGCGCAGAUAUCGGGAGGAACACCAAUGGCGAAGGCAGCUCGCUGGGACGUUACUGACGCUGAGACGCGAAAGCGUGGGGAGCGAACAGG